GCCAAGAAUAGUAACUCUUCUUUGUUUGGAAAUCGCUUAAAAGAGCUGCAAACUCCCUAAUUUGAUCAUUAGUUACUCAUUCCCGUCCGAGAAGAAGACUUCAAGAGGGUUACAGAAUCUUGUGACAAGGUGUGCAAAGUAAGCUGCUUUCUUCUCUCCACGAGACCGUUCUUUUCACAUUUUUCCUGUCAGGAGGUAUAAGAUAUCCAGGGCUGAACUCGUGUUUACAAAGGCGUAAAGUUGGUUAAAUAGAUCAUUUCCUUGGCUAAAACUAUUCUUCGUAGUAAAGGGUAUUCAAAGUAGCAAACACAAGAUAAAGAUGAAGAUACCCACAGUUUUGUUGCUCUGCAUGGUGGCUUUGUUUUUCAUGGAUUGUUUUGUAUCAGCUGAAGAGAAGGAGGUCCAGCAAAGAGGAUACAUCAGAAAACUUUCAGGCGAUGCGUCCCAUAAAAGGAGAGAAAAAGGU
Pocillopora damicornis (cauliflower coral) is the source of this 466-nucleotide long non-coding RNA. Lineage: Eukaryota; Metazoa; Cnidaria; Anthozoa; Scleractinia; Pocilloporidae. The record is from RefSeq and is a predicted model, not a curated record.